GACGAACGCUGGCGGUGUGCCUAACACAUGCAAGUCGAACGGUAAGGCCCUUUCGGGGGUACACGAGUGGCGAAUGGGUGAGUAACACGUGAGUAACCUGCCCUCAUCUCUGGGAUAACAGUCGGAAACGGUUGCUAAUACUGGAUAUGAGCUUGCAAGGCAUCUUUUGGGUUGGAAAGAUUUUUUGGUUGGGGAUGGACUCGCGGCCUAUCAGCUUGUUGGUGAGGUAGUGGCUAACCAAGGCUUCGACGGGUAGCCGGCCUGAGAGGGCGACCGGCCACAUUGGGACUGAGAUACGGCCCAAACGCCUACGGGAGGCAGCAGUGGGGAAUAUUGCACAAUGGACGGAAGUCUGAUGCAGCAACGCCGCGUGCGGGAUGACGGCCUUCGGGUUGUAAACCGCUUUCAAUUGUGACGAAGCUUUUUGUGACGGUAGCAGUAGAAGAAGCACCGGCUAACUACGUG
RNAcentral lists this ribosomal RNA (465 nucleotides) under uncultured bacterium. RNAcentral's name for it is "partial 16S ribosomal RNA". It matches the Rfam family "Bacterial small subunit ribosomal RNA", at positions 28 to 507 of the family's 1533-position model. The record is from RNAcentral.